RNAcentral lists this ribosomal RNA (494 nucleotides) under uncultured bacterium. RNAcentral describes it as "partial 16S ribosomal RNA". It matches the Rfam family "Bacterial small subunit ribosomal RNA", at positions 28 to 507 of the family's 1533-position model. The record is from RNAcentral.
GACGAACGCUGGCGGCGUGCUUAACACAUGCAAGUCGAACGGAAAGGCCUGCUUUCCCUUGUGGAUUGCGGGUACUCGAGUGGCGAACGGGUGAGUAACACGUGAGUGAUCUGCCCCCAACUUGGGUAUAAGCCUGGGAAACUGGGUCUAAUUCCCGAUAGGACUGCAGGGUGGUGCCUGUGGUGGAAAACGAUUUUCUAGUGGUUGGGGAUGAGCUCGCGGCCUAUCAGCUUGUUGGUGGGGUAAUGGCCUACCAAGGCGGCGACGGGUAGCCGGCCUGAGAGGGUGGACGGCCACAUUGGGACUGAGAUACGGCCCAGACUCCUACGGGAGGCAGCAGUGGGGAAUAUUGCACAAUGGGCGGAAGCCUGAUGCAGCGACGCCGCGUGGGGGAUGACGGCCUUCGGGUUGUAAACUCCUUUCGACCGCGAGGAAGCCACCUGGUUGGAAGAGUGGUGACGGUAGUGGUAGAAGAAGCACCGGCUAACUACGUG